UACGUAGGUGGCAAUCGGUGUCCGGAAUUAUUGGGCGUAAAGCGCACGCAGGCGGUCCUUUAAGUCUGAUGUGAAAGCCCACGGCUCAACCGUGGAGGGUCAUUGGAAACUGGGGGACUUGAGUACAGAAGAGAAGAGUGGAAUUCCACGUGUAGCGGUGAAAUGCGUAGAGAUGUGGAGGAACACCAGUGGCGAAGGCGACUCUUUGGUCUGUAACUGACGCUGAGGCGCGAAAGCGUGGGGAGCAAACAGG
RNAcentral lists this ribosomal RNA (253 nucleotides) under uncultured bacterium. RNAcentral describes it as "partial 16S ribosomal RNA". It matches the Rfam family "Bacterial small subunit ribosomal RNA", at positions 524 to 776 of the family's 1533-position model. The record is from RNAcentral.